GUGCUUGCUUAGGCAGCACAUACACUAAAAUUGGAAUGCUGCAGACAAGAUUAGCAUGGCCCCUGCACAAGGAUGACAUGCAAAUCUGUGAAGCACUCCAUAUUUAA
This is a small nuclear RNA of Phyllostomus discolor (pale spear-nosed bat), 107 nucleotides long. The record is from RefSeq and is a predicted model, not a curated record. Lineage: Eukaryota; Metazoa; Chordata; Mammalia; Chiroptera; Phyllostomidae.